RNAcentral lists this transfer RNA (65 nucleotides) under Dipodomys ordii (Ord's kangaroo rat). It matches the Rfam family "tRNA". From Rfam's summary of the family: Transfer RNA (tRNA) molecules are approximately 80 nucleotides in length. Their secondary structure includes four short double-helical elements and three loops (D, anti-codon, and T loops). Lineage: Eukaryota; Metazoa; Chordata; Mammalia; Rodentia; Heteromyidae. The record is from Rfam by way of RNAcentral.
GGUGGCUCAGUGGUAGAGCGCUUUCCUCCUAUGUAUGAGGCCCUGGGUUCGAUUCCUCAGCACCA